GGUCUUGUGGUCUAGUGGUAUGAUUCUCGCUUAGGGGUGAUAAGCUUAGCAUGCGAGAGGUCCCGCGUUCGAGUCGCGGCAAGACCC
This 87-nucleotide transfer RNA is filed under the name Blumeria hordei DH14. Its description in RNAcentral is "tRNA-Pro for anticodon AGG". The record is from RNAcentral. Lineage: Eukaryota; Fungi; Ascomycota; Leotiomycetes; Helotiales; Erysiphaceae.